Gossypium raimondii (Peruvian cotton) is the source of this 346-nucleotide long non-coding RNA. RefSeq lists it as uncharacterized. NCBI's taxonomy places the organism in Eukaryota, Viridiplantae, Streptophyta, Magnoliopsida, Malvales, Malvaceae. The record is from RefSeq and is a predicted model, not a curated record. The transcript is spliced from 3 exons.
ACAAAUUUACAAGCUUAUAUUUGGCAAAAACUUGGGGAUGUUAUUCAUUCACCAUUUUCUUCCAAACUUUCACUUUUCAUCUUUCUAUCGAGUUGAAGGGAAGGAAAGCUCAAAACGCUCGAAGUCGUCUCUAGGAAGGACAGAAUUGACCUUGGAAGAGGGGAGUAUUUGCGAAGUCAUAUUGUUCUUUUCUUCAAGAGCUUGGAAUGAAGCUUAAAGUGUAAGGGCCUCAAGUAGCAAGAGCAUGUACAAUGAUGCUGUGUCACCAGUUUUACAUGCGCCAAUCCAUGCAAAGAAGGAUUGGCAGGUGGAUGCUUUAAUUGUUUUCCCUUGUUUUAAUGUGCAC